Non-coding RNA from Carassius gibelio (silver crucian carp), 992 nucleotides. Lineage: Eukaryota; Metazoa; Chordata; Actinopteri; Cypriniformes; Cyprinidae. The record is from the annotation of a RefSeq genome assembly.
CUGAGAGUGUUUAUAGAGUUGUGAGUUUAACACUUCAUGACUGAGAGCAGAACAGAACACAAUCUUCAUCAUCACACAAGACACAACAACAACAAUGAACAACAUCAUCAUCCUCAUCUGGACCAUUGCAGCUUUUAUUCAAGCCUCCAGAGGAGUCACUCUGACUCAACCUAAAGUUAAAACUGUCCAGCUCGGUCAAACAGCUACAAUAGAGUGUAACAUAGAUGUAGGGAUAUAUAGUGACUACUUAUACUGGUAUCAGCAGAAACCUGGAGAAGCUCAUAAACUCCUCAUAAAAUUCAUAAGCACCCUCCAGUCAGGAACUCCAUCUAGAUUCAGUGGCAGUGGGACAGCAAAUACUGGAAAAGAUUUCACUCUGACCGUCAGUGGAGUCCAGACUGAAGAUACAGGAGAUUAUUACUGUCAGAGUUUACACUCUAUCAGUAGUAGCUGGGUGUUCACACAGUGAUAAAGAGUCGUACAAAAACCUCCGUCAGUCAGAGUCACAGUGACUGCACUGAUACAGCUGAGAGACACUGCAGCUGCUGAUGGAGGUUAUUUCUUAUAACAGUCUCAUUUACUCAAAAAUGUUAAAGUCUUGUACUGAUUUAUGAAUCUUUCUGGUUCUUUAAUGUGUGUUUCACUCAUUACUUCACCAUGGAUGUAUUUAAUUCAUCAUUUAAAAUGUUCCAGCAUUAAACAAUCCAAUGUAAUCUGAAGAUACUUACAGUAUAGUACAGUAUGCAGGGAAACGGUGUCCUUUCAAUCCAGAAUCACACAAAAUAAGUUAAUCAUAGCAACUCCUUUUGCGUGUCAUAGAACAUUAAACUUUAAUUCCUAUUAUCUUUUUCUUCUUCUUCCAAAGUGAAAAUCUCAAAUGAUGUUUUGUGUUAAGAAUCAUUCUGUGAGUCAGUAGUGAAAAUUAUGUUUUUGGAUUUCCCACAAUCAAAUUAUAUUUUCACACUUUUUUCAUAAUUAAUAUUAUAGCUUGA